UGCUCUAUGAUGGAGUUUCUUUCUCUCUGCAUCCUCUAGAACUGCUUUGAUCAGCUCCACUUUUGCCUGUAGCUUCUUGAGAUCGUCUUUUACCCCAAGAAUCAUUACAGCCUGCUCCUCAAGCAAAUUGGCAAUCCUAUUCACACAACCAAUAAGAAAUGCUUCUGACUGUGUUCCCAUUUGUGAUUGGUGAGUCCAAGGUAAGUGUUAUACUUCCUACCUUCAAUGAGAACACAGAAAUUAAUACGAUAGUCAAAUUUAUGGUAACUACGAUUCAAUUCAAUUAUUGAGGAAUGAAGGCCAUGCAUUGUUUGAACAAAUACGAUGUGAUCACCCAAAUUUGAUGACAAAAAUGUGGGAGUCUGCAGCCAUACUAAUAUCUGGUAGUAAUGUUUAUGUGUCCAUGCGUAGAAAGGCCAACAAAAUUAUCUUUAGUAUUUAUAUCAAUCUGGGUUGAAAUGCUAGUAUAUUACAUUAUGUAUGCAGUGGUUUAAGGCAACAUUGGUAUGCCUCGGAGCCAUAACAUUCAAGGCAUAAGGCAUGAUGAUGCAAUAUGAGGUGCCUGAGUUGUGAUUGAUAGAGAAAUUUGCAAAGAAAAAAGACAUGGAAAAUGAGAAAAGCCCACUACCAGGCUGCAAAUUCCGUUCAAAGUCAUGAAGUCAGCUUACUGGAAGAUAUGUGUUGGCAAUGUUGCAAGAGCUCUUUCAAUCACUACUAGGAAGACUGUUUGCUUCUGAUUUCAUUCUGUUCAAAUUGCCACCGAUGUUUGCCUCUGCAGAAUGCAUAGUUUUCUUAAAUUCUGGUUGAUGCCAAGUUUGCUUGUCCUACCGAGAGAAUGCACCAAUCGAUAAGACACCUUCUCUUCAACAUGAAGCUGAUGGAAUCAAUGGUUUCACAUUUGAUAUAGUGGUACCGCUGCAAAAGCCAGCAGAUUUGUGUUGUGAUCAGGACUGAAUUGUCAAUCUAGUUCCAUUUGAUAGAAUUGACAUGAAACCACGGUGACCUUAAUUAUAAUCUAUAGCAGGGAGUUUGAAUAAUAUUGGCUG
Oryza brachyantha (malo sina) is the source of this 1046-nucleotide long non-coding RNA. RefSeq lists it as uncharacterized. The record is from RefSeq and is a predicted model, not a curated record. NCBI's taxonomy places the organism in Eukaryota, Viridiplantae, Streptophyta, Magnoliopsida, Poales, Poaceae. The transcript has 3 exons.